GCGUGAGUGAUGAAGGCCUUAGGGUUGUAAAGCUCUUUCAGCGGGGAAGAUGAUGACGGUACCCGCAGAAGAAGCCCCGGCUAACUCCGUGCCAGCAGCCGCGGUAAUACGGAGGGGGCAAGCGUUGUUCGGAAUUACUGGGCGUAAAGCGCGCGUAGGCGGUCUGUUUAGUCAGGCGUGAAAUCCCUGGGCUUAACCCAGGAACUGCGUUUGAUACUGGCAGACUAGAGUUCGGGAGAGGAGAGUGGAAUUCCCAGUGUAGAGGUGAAAUUCGU
RNAcentral lists this ribosomal RNA (275 nucleotides) under uncultured bacterium. Its description in RNAcentral is "partial 16S ribosomal RNA". It matches the Rfam family "Bacterial small subunit ribosomal RNA", at positions 399 to 691 of the family's 1533-position model. The record is from RNAcentral.